This 446-nucleotide ribosomal RNA is filed under the name uncultured bacterium. Its description in RNAcentral is "partial 16S ribosomal RNA". It matches the Rfam family "Bacterial small subunit ribosomal RNA", at positions 338 to 795 of the family's 1533-position model. The record is from RNAcentral.
CCUACGGGUGGCUGCAGUCGAGAAUCAUUCACAAUGGGGGAAACCCUGAUGGUGCGACGCCGCGUGGGGGAAUGAAGGUCUUCGGAUUGUAAACCCCUGUCAUGUGGGAGCAAAUUAAAAAGAUAGUACCACAAGAGGAAGAGACGGCUAACUCUGUGCCAGCAGCCGCGGUAAUACAGAGGGCUCAAGCGUUGUUCGGAAUCACUGGGCGUAAAGCGUGCGUAGGCGGUUUAAUAAGUCGUGUGUGAAAGGCGCGGGCUCAACCGGCGGACGGCACAUGAUACUGCGAGACUAGAGUGAUGGAGGGGGAACUGGAAUUCUCGGUGUAGCAGUGAAAUGCGUAGAUAUCGGGAGGAACACUCGUGGCGAAGGCGAGUUCCUGGACAGUAACUGACGUUGAGGCACGAAGGCCAGGGGAGCGAAAGGGAUUAGAUACCCCUGUAGUC